RNAcentral lists this ribosomal RNA (550 nucleotides) under uncultured Glomeromycotina. RNAcentral describes it as "SSU rRNA". It matches the Rfam family "Eukaryotic small subunit ribosomal RNA", at positions 548 to 1098 of the family's 1831-position model. Lineage: Eukaryota; Fungi; Glomeromycota. The record is from RNAcentral.
UUGGAGGGCAGUCUGGUGCCAGCAGCCGCGGUAAUUCCAGCUCCAAUAGCGUAUAUUAAAGUUGUUGCAGUUAAAAAGCUCGUAGUUGAAUUUCGGAGUUUGUCGGUUGGUCGGGCUUCAUUGUCCGCACUGGCCUGAUGGAUUCCUACCUUCUGAAUAACCAGCAUGCUAUUAAGUUAGUGCGUUGGGGAAGCAGAGCUAUUACCUUGAAAAAAUUAGAGUGCUUAAAGCAGGCUUAUGCUUGAAUAGAUUAGCAUGGAAUAAUAAAAUAGGACGGCAUGGUUCUAUUUUGUUGGUUUCUAGGAUCACCGUAAUGAUUAAUAGGGAUAGUUGGGGGCAUUAGUAUUCAAUUGUCAGAGGUGAAAUUCUUGGAUUUAUUGAAGACUAACUUCUGCGAAAGCAUUUGCCAAGGAUGUUUUCAUUAAUCAAGAACGAAAGUUAGGGGAUCGAAGACGAUCAGAUACCGUCGUAGUCUUAACCAUAAACUAUGCCGACUAGGGAUCGGACGAUGUUAAUUUUUUAAUGACUCGUUCGGCGCCUUACGGGAAAC